This 253-nucleotide ribosomal RNA is filed under the name uncultured bacterium. RNAcentral's name for it is "partial 16S ribosomal RNA". It matches the Rfam family "Bacterial small subunit ribosomal RNA", at positions 524 to 776 of the family's 1533-position model. The record is from RNAcentral.
UACAGAGGGUGCAAGCGUUAAUCGGAAUUACUGGGCGUAACGCGCGCGUAGGUGGUUUGUUAAGUCGGAUGUGAAAUCCCAGGGCUCAACCUUGGAAUGGCACCCGAUACUGGCAGGCUAGAGUAUGGUAGAGGGGUGUGGAAUUUCCUGUGUAGCGGUGAAAUGCGUAGAUAUAGGAAGGAACAUCAGUGGCGAAGGCGACACCCUGGACUAAUACUGACACUGAGGUGCGAAAGCGUGGGGAGCAAACAGG